GAUGAACGCUGACAGAAUGCUUAACACAUGCAAGUCAACUUGAACUUCGGUUUGGGUGGCGGACGGGUGAGUAGCGCGUAAAGAACUUGCCUCACAGCUAGGGACAACAUUUGGAAACGAAUGCUAAUACCUGAUAUUAUGAUUAUAUGGCAUCGUAUAAUUAUGAAAGCUAUAUGCGCUGUGAGAGAGCUUUGGGUCCCAUUAGCUAGGUGGAGAGGUAACAGCUCACCAAGGCGAUGAUGGGUAGCCGGCCUGAGAGGGUGAUCGGCCACAAGGGGACUGAGACACGGCCAGUACUCCUACGGGAGGCAGCAGGGGGGAAUGUCGGACAAUGGACCGCGAGGCUGAGCCAGCAAUUCUGUGGGCACGAUGAAGUUUUUCGGAAUGAAAAGUGCUUUCAGUUUGGAAGAAAAAAAUGACGGUACCAACAGAAGAAGUGACGGCUAAAUACGUG
Molecule: ribosomal RNA, 454 nt
Filed under: uncultured bacterium
Lineage: Bacteria
Description: partial 16S ribosomal RNA
Rfam family: Bacterial small subunit ribosomal RNA
Source: RNAcentral